UCGCCGCCGACGACGUCGCGAGAAGUCCACUGAACCUUAUCAUUUAGAGGAAGGAGAAGUCGUAACAAGGUUUCCGUAGGUGAACCUGCGGAAGGAUCAUUGUCGACACCUGCAAAGCAGAGCGACCCGUGAACCGUUUUUCAACUCCCGGGAUACCGGGGGGGCCCUGUCCGCCCGGUAGCCCGAAAGCUCCGGACUCUAGGGGUGCAACCCACCCCAGGGUACGGAGCUCCAAACAAACCCCGGCGCGCGAAGCGCCAAGGUACUCCAACGAUAGGGCAUGCGCCCGUAGCCCUGGGUUCCAGUGUGCUCGGGCUGCUGUUCAACGUCAUAAAGUCUAAACGACUNNNGUGUGAAUUGCAGAAUCCCGUGAACCAUCGAGUCUUUGAACGCAAGUUGCGCCCGAAGCCUUGGCUGAGGGCACGUCUGCCUGGGUGUCACGCAUCGCGUUGCCUCCAAACCCUUCACCCUUCGGACGUUGCGGUGAUGGUCUGGAUGCGGAAGCUGGCCUCCCGCGGCCGCGAGCCACGGAUGGCCCAAACACGUGCUAGGGAAGCGAAGCGCCACGGCAUUCGGUGGUUGAUCCAAGCCCCAGAAGCAGUGCCGGCGGUGGCCGCGUCCGUCCCUAGCCCACGACCCUAAUCGUUAACCAACGCGACCUCAGGUCAGGCGGGGCUACCCGCUGAGUUUAAGCAUAUCAAUAAGCGGAGG
RNAcentral lists this ribosomal RNA (711 nucleotides) under Terminalia stenostachya. Its description in RNAcentral is "eukaryotic LSU rRNA". The stretch from base 1 to 102 matches the Rfam family "Eukaryotic small subunit ribosomal RNA", at positions 1730 to 1831 of the family's 1831-position model. The record is from RNAcentral. Lineage: Eukaryota; Viridiplantae; Streptophyta; Magnoliopsida; Myrtales; Combretaceae.